GCCUGGCGGGUGCUAUACAUGCAGUCGAGCGGACAGAUGGGAGCUUGCUCCCUGAAGUCAGCGGCGGACGGGUGAGUAACACGUGGGCAACCUGCCUGUAAGACUGGGAUAACUCCGGGAAACCGGGGCUAAUACCGGAUAAUUCUUUCCCUCACAUGAGGGAAAGCUGAAAGAUGGUUUCGGCUAUCACUUACAGAUGGGCCCGCGGCGCAUUAGCUAGUUGGUGAGGUAACGGCUCACCAAGGCAACGAUGCGUAGCCGACCUGAGAGGGUGAUCGGCCACACUGGGACUGAGACACGGCCCAGACUCCUACGGGAGGCAGCAGUAGGGAAUCUUCCGCAAUGGACGAAAGUCUGACGGAGCAACGCCGCGUGAGUGAUGAAGGUUUUCGGAUCGUAAAACUCUGUUGUUAGGGAAGAACAAGUACCGGAGUAACUGCCGGUACCUUGACGGUACCUAACCAGAAAGCCACGGCUAACUACGUGCCAGCAGCCGCGGUAAUACGUAGGUGGCAAGCGUUGUCCGGAAUUAUUGGGCGUAAAGCGCGCGCAGGCGGUUCCUUAAGUCUGAUGUGAAAGCCCCCGGCUCAACCGGGGAGGGUCAUUGGAAACUGGGGAACUUG
Molecule: ribosomal RNA, 623 nt
Filed under: uncultured Bacillus sp.
Lineage: Bacteria; Bacillati; Bacillota; Bacilli; Caryophanales; Bacillaceae
Description: bacterial SSU rRNA
Rfam family: Bacterial small subunit ribosomal RNA
Source: RNAcentral